UGAGGAAUAUUGGUCAAUGGGCGUGAGCCUGAACCAGCCAAGUCGCGUGAGGGAAGACUGCCUUAUGGGUUGUAAACCUCUUUUGUCGGGGAGCAAAGCUGCCACGUGUGGCGGUUUGAGAGUACCCGAAGAAAAAGCAUCGGCUAACUCCGUGCCAGCAGCCGCGGUAAUACGGAGGAUGCGAGCGUUAUCCGGAUUUAUUGGGUUUAAAGGGUGCGUAGGCGGACGAUCAAGUCAGCGGUCAAAUGUCGGGGCUUAACCCCGGCCUGCCGUUGCAAACUGGUUGUCUUGAGUGAGCGAGAGGUAUGCGGAAUGCGUGGUGUAGCGGUGAAAUGCAUAGAUAUCACGCAGAACCCCGAUUGCGAAGGCAGCAUACCGGUGCUCAACUGACGCUGAUGCACGAAAGCGUGGGGAUCAAACAGGAUUAGAUACC
Molecule: ribosomal RNA, 433 nt
Filed under: uncultured bacterium
Lineage: Bacteria
Description: bacterial SSU rRNA
Rfam family: Bacterial small subunit ribosomal RNA
Source: RNAcentral